This 791-nucleotide ribosomal RNA is filed under the name Metahaliotrema subancistroides. Its description in RNAcentral is "partial 28S ribosomal RNA". It matches the Rfam family "Eukaryotic large subunit ribosomal RNA", at positions 71 to 740 of the family's 3401-position model. Lineage: Eukaryota; Metazoa; Platyhelminthes; Monogenea; Dactylogyridea; Ancyrocephalidae. The record is from RNAcentral.
AGGAUUCUCCUAGUAACGGCGAGUGAACGGAGAUUAGCCCAUCGCUGAAGACUGGUAUUAUUAUACACAAGUCAAUGUGGCGUUUAGGUCUAUGCCUGGGAUUGAGUACCUGCCCGAAGUCCAAUUUCGAUUGUGGCAUUGGAUAUUCCCCAGAGUGGGUGAAAGGCCCAUCCGGGUAGGCUAUUGAAAUUUUAUGCUCAGUCCUCAGAUGUGUAGUCCAUCGAGUCGGAUUGCUUGAGAAUGCAGUCCAAAGUGGGUGGUAAACUCCAUCCAAGGCUAAAUACUGGCACGAGUCCGAUAGUAGACAAGUACCGUGAGGGAAAGUUGAAAAGUACUCUGAAGAGAGAGUUAAUAGUACGUGAAGCCGAAUUCAGGGAAGCUGGUGGAGUCAAGCUUCGUGCUUGAGGAAUUGUAGCGGGCAUUUAUUGUAGUGUAUAUAAGCACUUGACUGGUCAAUAUGGAAAGUAUUGGACACAUUUGUGUGUUUCAAGACAACUCCGGGUAGUGUGUUUGCGGCCAAUCAAUGUGUUUUAAUGCCCGUUAUCUAUUCUUCAUUGUGCACAGAUCAUGGUCAGUGAUGACGCGCUAUAUGAUGCUCUAACAGCGUUUUGGUGAACUUUCCGUUUGUCAGUCGCUGGAAGGCAGGUGUCAAUCAACGAUCCUUGUGUUUGUUGAUUUGAUUAUAAUGGUUUCGAUCAGCCGAGUAUCUUGUAUGUGUCGUUUUUUACUGUUCUUCAAUGGUUGUUAGUAGAAAUACUAAUUGCCAGUAAGAACCAUGAUUCUGAGGUAGA